AAGAAAUUUAAUAAUUUUGAAAAUGGAUUUUUUUUUUGUUUUGGCAAGAGCAUGAGAGCUUUUACUGGGCAAGAAGACAAGAGAUGGAGAGUCCAGCCGGGCCUGCGCUUAAGUGCGCGGUCUUGCUAGGCUUGUAAGUUUCUUUCUUGCUAUUCCAAACGGUGAGAGAUUUCUGUGCUUUUGUUAUAGGACAAUUAAAACCGUUUCAAUACAACACACUGUGGAGUUUUCAUAUCUUUGCAACUUUUUCUUUGGGCAUUCGAGCAAUCGGGGCCCAGAGGUUAACAAACACAAACAAUUUUAUCUAUUCAUUAAAUUUUUGUCAAAAACAAGAAUUUUCGUAACUGGAAAUUUUAAAAUAUUAAAAACUUUCAACAACGGAUCUCUUGGUUCUCGCAUCGAUGAAGAACGCAGCGAAAUGCGAUACGUAAUGUGAAUUGCAGAAUUCCGUGAAUCAUCGAAUCUUUGAACGCACAUUGCGCCCCUUGGUAUUCCAGGGGGCAUGCCUGUUUGAGCGUCAUUUCCUUCUCAAACAUUCUGUUUGGUAGUGAGUGAUACUCUUUGGAGUUAACUUGAAAUUGCUGGCCUUUUCAUUGGAUGUUUUUUUUCCAAAGAGAGGUUUCUCUGCGUGCUUGAGGUAUAAUGCAAGUACGGUCGUUUUAGGUUUUACCAACUGCGGCUAAUCUUUUUUUAUACUGAGCGUAUUGGAACGUUAUCGAUAAGAAGAGAGCGUCUAGGCGAACAAUGUUCUUAAAGU
RNAcentral lists this unclassified non-coding RNA (757 nucleotides) under Saccharomyces cerevisiae (brewer's yeast). Its description in RNAcentral is "partial contains ITS1, 5.8S rRNA, ITS2". The stretch from base 367 to 520 matches the Rfam family "5.8S ribosomal RNA". The record is from RNAcentral. Lineage: Eukaryota; Fungi; Ascomycota; Saccharomycetes; Saccharomycetales; Saccharomycetaceae.